RNAcentral lists this ribosomal RNA (253 nucleotides) under uncultured prokaryote. RNAcentral's name for it is "partial 16S ribosomal RNA". It matches the Rfam family "Bacterial small subunit ribosomal RNA", at positions 525 to 777 of the family's 1533-position model. The record is from RNAcentral.
ACGUAGGGGGCGAGCGUUGUCCGGAUUUAUUGGGCGUAAAGGGCGUGUAGGCGGUCAGCUAAGUCAGAGGUGAAAAUCGAGGGCUCAACCCUGGAACUGCCUCUGAAACUGGUGGACUUGAGUGCUCUAGAGGGCAGUGGAAUUCCCGGUGUAGCGGUGAAAUGCGUAGAGAUCUGGAGGAACACCCGCGGCGAAGGCGGCGCCCUGGUCCGUUACUGACGCUGAGACGCGAAAGCGCGGGGAGCGAACGGGA